RNAcentral lists this long non-coding RNA (1773 nucleotides) under Homo sapiens (human). RNAcentral's name for it is "HSALNT0295925". Lineage: Eukaryota; Metazoa; Chordata; Mammalia; Primates; Hominidae. The record is from RNAcentral.
CAUUGCAUCGAUACUGGAGAUUGGACCAAAUUAUGUUUUCUUGGGAGAAGCAGAAUACACCAAGACGCCCCCCUCGCAUGGAUGUGUCAAUGAUCACCCCAGAAUCCGCCACAAGCUGGGGUCCCUCAUAGAGCUUCACCCUGUCCAGGAUUCCAGGAUAGGAGUAUCCAUUGGUGCUAGGGUGCCAGUGGGCACUGUGCCACCAUGCCUGGGGCCUUGCUUUUCCCCAGCCCCCCUUGAGCUCACCAGGCCUGAGAGAGAAGGGAGGGAGGGAAAGGGAGGCAGGAAGGAGAGGGAAGGGGGGUGCUUUUCUCAGGCCUGGGGCCCCUAGCUCUUUGUCCAGCUCCUUUUGCAUCUCAAAGCACCAGCCGCAUUCCAAGCGAGGAUUGGGUUGCCAUGACAAUAAGCACAAUGGGCUGGGGGGUGAAGUCACCCGCUUCCCAGGCUCUAGUCCACCCCCUUUUAUCCCCUGUCCUGGCACCCCACAGCCCCAGGCACCUUAAAGGGGAACCAACCCAGGUUCCUGGACUCUGGGCUCUUGGCCAUGGAAAGUCCAGCCUCUAAGCAGACCCAUUUCCCCUCCCUUCCUGUUCAUCUCCACCAACUAGGGCUACUUGUUGGAGAGAAAUGCAAAGUUGUGGACAAAGUGUUGAACCGAGGCCUGUGAAGUCAGGGCCUUGAUUUUCUCUUCUGUAAAUGAUGAUGCCUUCCAGGUCAGAUGAUCCCUAUCCACGUUGAUAAGACAGGUUCCAGGUCAUACCAACUAAGGGACCAGAUGUGAUGUGCCCCUUCACAGAUUGGCCUGGGUUUGGAGGCUUCUGGAGAACUGUAAAGGGCAUCUAACCCAAUGCCCUCAUUUUACAGACGGGAAAAUGGGUCAUGGAGGAGUGACUUCACCAACAUCACUCAUAGGUGCUUGUGUCCGUGGUGAGAAGGGUGAUGGAGAGAAGUGGCUGCAGUUCCCACCCAUGGAGAGGUCACUGGUGAAUCCCAGCUAAAGAGGAAGGACAGGCCCGGCCUGAGUCCCACAGGUGGGCUCAGCCCCUCUCCUUACCGAAUGUAGCCAACUUGAGGCCGGUGCAGAAGCUGCCAGCGAUAGGAGGUCUUGUCCCGCCAGCCCACAUUUCGUGGGUCUGUCCACAGCAGUCGUACCUGAUCAGGGGUGUGGCCAGUAUGCCACAGGGCAUUUCGGAGGUGCUCACCUGGGCCAGACACUGAUGUCACUGCCUAGGAGACAUUGGCAAAGACAGUGGGUCAACUGCAGAACUGGAGUGAGGGGAGACAACAGGUCGGUAAGUGCAGGUGGGAAAGGGAUUCAAGGCGGUCAUGAAAAUGCCCUGGGGCCCCAGAGAGCCGGCCUCCAAGCCAGAUGUCUGGGCUUACCAUCUGAGUCCUUCUGAUUGGGAUUGGGUACCAGGCGGCAGUUAUCGGGACCAGGAGGCACAUAAUCUGGGAUGCCAUCAUUGUCAUCAUCCCCAUCACACUCAUCUCCAAGUCCAUCGUUAUCAGAGUCCAGCUGGGAGCUAUUUGGCAGCUGUGGGCAGUUGUCCUUGGUGUCCUGAUGCCCAUCCCCAUCGCUAAUCAGAAGAACAGAUCACACCCUUGUGAUGGACAAACUGCUCAGUACAGUCCCACCCACCCAGCCUCCUUGUCCUGGGCACGAGGUUUUUGCCUCCCUGAUUUGGAGUAUUUGGCCCUUACUAGAGAGCUGCCAGAUGAGAACUCAGAGGCUCCUCCCGGCUCACCUGCAUCCUCAAAUACGCCUUCUGUCCA